GGACCCGUAGUGUAGCGGUUAACACGCCUCCCUGUCACGGAGGAGACCGAGGGUUCGAUUCCCUUCGGGUCCGCCA
Molecule: transfer RNA, 76 nt
Filed under: Candidatus Kerfeldbacteria bacterium CG08_land_8_20_14_0_20_43_14
Lineage: Bacteria; Candidatus Kerfeldiibacteriota
Also listed under: 1 other name
Description: tRNA-Asp
Rfam family: tRNA
About the family: Transfer RNA (tRNA) molecules are approximately 80 nucleotides in length. Their secondary structure includes four short double-helical elements and three loops (D, anti-codon, and T loops).
Source: RNAcentral